UACUCCUGACUGACCGAUAGUGAACCAGUACCGUGAGGGAAAGGCGAAAAGAACCCCGGCGAGGGGAGUGAAAAAGAACCUGAAACCGUGUACGUACAAGCAGUGGGAGCACAGAGCAAUCUGUGUGACUGCGUACCUUUUGUAUAAUGGGUCAGCGACUUAUAUUCUGUAGCAAGGUUAACCGAAUAGGGGAGCCGAAGGGAAACCGAGUCUUAACUGGGCGUUAAGUUGCAGGGUAUAGACCCGAAACCCGGUGAUCUAGCCAUGGGCAGGUUGAAGGUUGGGUAACACUAACUGGAGGACCGAACCGACUAAUGUUGAAAAAUUAGCGGAUGACUUGUGGCUGGGGGUGAAAGGCCAAUCAAACCGGGAGAUAGCUGGUUCUCCCCGAAAGCUAUUUAGGUAGCGCCUCGUGAAUUCAUCUCCGGGGGUAGAGCACUGUUUCGGCAAGGGGGUCAUCCCGACUUACCAACCCGAUGCAAACUGCGAAUACCGGAGAAUGUUAUCACGGGAGACACACGGCGGGUGCUAACGUCCGUCGUGAAGAGGGAAACAACCCAGACCGCCAGCUAAGGUCCCAAAGUCAUGGUUAAGUGGGAAACGAUGUGGGAAGGCCCAGACAGCCAGGAUGUUGGCUUAGAAGCAGCCAUCAUUUAAAGAAAGCGUAAUAGCUCACUGGUCGAGUCGGCCUGCGCGGAAGAUGUAACGGGGCUAAACCAUGCAC
RNAcentral lists this ribosomal RNA (724 nucleotides) under Escherichia coli. RNAcentral describes it as "partial 23S ribosomal RNA". It matches the Rfam family "Bacterial large subunit ribosomal RNA", at positions 471 to 1194 of the family's 2925-position model. Lineage: Bacteria; Pseudomonadati; Pseudomonadota; Gammaproteobacteria; Enterobacterales; Enterobacteriaceae. The record is from RNAcentral.